UCGAAAGCCUAUCUCAGUUCGGAUUGGAGGCUGAAACCCGCCUCCAUGAAGUUGGAUUCGCUGUAAUCGCGCAUCAGCCAUGGCGCGGUGAAUACGUUCCCGGGCCUUGUACACACCGCCCGUCAAGCCAUGGGAGCCGGGGGUGCCUGAAGUUCGUUACCGCAAGGAUCGACCUAGGGCAAAACUGGUGACUGGGGCUAAGUCGUAACAAGGUAGC
RNAcentral lists this ribosomal RNA (217 nucleotides) under uncultured bacterium. RNAcentral's name for it is "partial 16S ribosomal RNA". It matches the Rfam family "Bacterial small subunit ribosomal RNA", at positions 1275 to 1500 of the family's 1533-position model. The record is from RNAcentral.